CGAGGAGCUGUUGGUCCGGGCCUGAACGUUGUGAGGAGGCGGUGGAGGCGGCACGAGGCGAUCUCGGACAGCUACCAGAGAUUGAGACUGAAUUUAGCUAAAGUGAAUGAGGACAUAAGACAAGGAGAAGACAACAGGAGGACGAGCUUGUUUCCAUGGAGGCUGAAAAGUUUAGCUAGGGGUGGAGCGGAGCUGCCUGCACCCCCCAUGCAGCCCUGAGGAGUUUCACUGAAGCCACAGCAGGGCCAGCAGGUCAGACUGAGAUAAAACCGAAGAAUUCAGGGAGGUGGGAGUGAUAUAUGAGAUGAGAGGUGAGUCCUGCUCUGCAACAGUUAGUUGCAAAGACAAUAAAGAGCAGCGGAUUAAUGAGA
Poecilia latipinna (sailfin molly) is the source of this 371-nucleotide long non-coding RNA. RefSeq lists it as uncharacterized. The record is from RefSeq and is a predicted model, not a curated record. Lineage: Eukaryota; Metazoa; Chordata; Actinopteri; Cyprinodontiformes; Poeciliidae. The transcript is spliced from 2 exons.